CCUACGGGGGGCAGCAGUGGGGAAUAGUGCACAAUGGGGGAAACCCUGAUGCAGCGACGCCGCGUGAGUGAAGAAGGAGUGCGGGAUGUAAAGCUCUAUCAGCAGGGAAGAAAAUGACGGUACCUGAGUAAGAAGCCCCGGCGAACUACGGGCCAGCAGCCGCGGUAAUACGUAGGGGGCAAGCGUUAUCCGGAUUUACUGGGUGUAAAGGGAGCGUAGACGGCAGCACAAGUCUGGAGUGAAAUGCCGGGGCUUAACCCCGGAACUGCUUUGGAAACUGUGCAGCUAGAGUGCAGGAGCGGUAAGUUGAAUUCCUAGUGUAGCUGUGACAUGCGUAGAUAUUAGGCGGAACCCCCGUGGCGAAGGCGGCUUACUGGACUGUAACUGCCGUUGAGGCUCGAAAGCGUGGGGAGCAAACAGGAUUAGAUACCCGAGUAGUC
RNAcentral lists this ribosomal RNA (440 nucleotides) under uncultured bacterium. RNAcentral's name for it is "partial 16S ribosomal RNA". It matches the Rfam family "Bacterial small subunit ribosomal RNA", at positions 338 to 795 of the family's 1533-position model. The record is from RNAcentral.